UACGUAGGGGGCAAGCGUUGUCCGGAUUUAUUGGGCGUAAAGAGCGUGUAGGCGGUCUGGUAGGUCCGUUGUGAAAACUCGAGGCUCAACCUCGAGACGCCGAUGGAAACCAUCAGACUAGAGUCCGGAAGAGGAGAGUGGAAUUCCUGGUGUAGCGGUGAAAUGCGCAGAUAUCGGGAGGAACACCCGUGGCGAAGGCGGCACUCUGGGACGGUACUGACGCUGAGACGCGAAAGCGUGGGGAGCAAACAGG
RNAcentral lists this ribosomal RNA (253 nucleotides) under uncultured bacterium. RNAcentral's name for it is "partial 16S ribosomal RNA". It matches the Rfam family "Bacterial small subunit ribosomal RNA", at positions 524 to 776 of the family's 1533-position model. The record is from RNAcentral.